CUGAUGCAGCCAUGCCGCGUGUAUGAAGAAGGCCUUCGGGUUGUAAAGCACUUUCAGUCGUGAGGAAGGUGGUGUAGUUAAUAGCUGCGUUAUUUGACGUUAGCGACAGAAGAAGCACCGGCUAACUCCGUGCCAGCAGCCGCGGUAAUACGGAGGGUGCGAGCGUUAAUCGGAAUUACUGGGCGUAAAGCGCAUGCAGGUGGUUUGUUAAGUCAGAUGUGAAAGCCCGGGGCUCAACCUCGGAAUAGCAUUUGAAACUGGCAGACUAGAGUACUGUAGAGGGGGGUAGAAUUUCAGGUGUAGCGGUGAAAUGCGUAGAGAUCUGAAGGAAUACCGGUGGCGAAGGCGGCCCCCUGGACAGAUACUGACACUCAGAUGCGAAAGCGUGGGGAGCAAACAGGAUUAGAUACCCUGGUAGUCCACGCCGUAAACGAUGUCUACUUGGAGGUUGUGGCCUUGAGCCGUGGCUUUCGGAGCUAACGCGUUAAGUAGACCGCCUGGGGAGUACGGUCGCAAGAUUAAAACUCAAAUGAAUUGACGGGGGCCCGCACAAGCGGUGGAGCAUGUGGUUUAAUUCGAUGCAACGCGAAGAACCUUACCUACUCUUGACAUCCAGAGAACUUUCCAGAGAUGGAUUGGUGCCUUCGGGAACUCUGAGACAGGUGCUGCAUGGCUGUCGUCAGCUCGUGUUGUGAAAUGUUGGGUUAAGUCCCGCAACGAGCGCAACCCUUAUCCUUGUUUGCCAGCGAGUAAUGUCGGGAACUCCAGGGAGACUGCCGGUGAUAAACCGGAGGAAGGUGGGGGACGACGUCAAGUCAUCAUGGCCCUUACGAGUAGGGCUACACACGUGCUACAAUGGCGCAUACAGAGGGC
This 873-nucleotide ribosomal RNA is filed under the name Vibrio sp. RNAcentral describes it as "bacterial SSU rRNA". It matches the Rfam family "Bacterial small subunit ribosomal RNA", at positions 383 to 1247 of the family's 1533-position model. The record is from RNAcentral. Lineage: Bacteria; Pseudomonadati; Pseudomonadota; Gammaproteobacteria; Vibrionales; Vibrionaceae.